RNAcentral lists this ribosomal RNA (1372 nucleotides) under uncultured bacterium. RNAcentral's name for it is "bacterial SSU rRNA". It matches the Rfam family "Bacterial small subunit ribosomal RNA", at positions 28 to 1381 of the family's 1533-position model. The record is from RNAcentral.
GAUAAACGCUGGCGGCGUGCCUAAUACAUGCAAGUCGAGCGAACGGACGAGGAGCUUGCUUCUCUGAUGUUAGCGGCGGACGGGUGAGUAACACGUGGAUAACCUACCUAUAAGACUGGGAUAACUUCGGGAAACCGGAGCUAAUACCGGAUAAUAUUUUGAACCGCAUGGUUCAAAAGUGAAAGACGGUCUUGCUGUCACUUAUAGAUGGAUCCGCGCUGCAUUAGCUAGUUGGUAAGGUAACGGCUUACCAAGGCAACGAUGCAUAGCCGACCUGAGAGGGUGAUCGGCCACACUGGAACUGAGACACGGUCCAGACUCCUACGGGAGGCAGCAGUAGGGAAUCUUCCGCAAUGGGCGAAAGCCUGACGGAGCAACGCCGCGUGAGUGAUGAAGGUCUUCGGAUCGUAAAACUCUGUUAUUAGGGAAGAACAUAUGUGUAAGUAACUGUGCACAUCUUGACGGUACCUAGUCAGAAAGCCACGGCUAACUACGUGCCAGCAGCCGCGGUAAUACGUAGGUGGCAAGCGUUAUCCGGAAUUAUUGGGCGUAAAGCGCGCGUAGGCGGUUUUUUAAGUCUGAUGUGAAAGCCCACGGCUCAACCGUGGAGGGUCAUUGGAAACUGGAAAACUUGAGUGCAGAAGAGGAAAGUGGAAUUCCAUGUGUAGCGGUGAAAUGCGCAGAGAUAUGGAGGAACACCAGUGGCGAAGGCGACUUUCUGGUCUGUAACUGACGCUGAUGUGCGAAAGCGUGGGGAUCAAACAGGAUUAGAUACCCUGGUAGUCCACGCCGUAACCGAUGAGUGCUAAGUGUUAGGGGGUUUCCGCCCCUUAGUGCUGCAGCUAACGCAUUAAGCACUCCGCCUGGGGAGUACGACCGCAAGGUUGAAACUCAAAGGAAUUGACGGGGACCCGCACAAGCGGUGGAGCAUGUGGUUUAAUUCGAAGCAACGCGAAGAACCUUACCAAAUCUUGACAUCCUUUGACAACUCUAGAGAUAGAGCCUUCCCCUUCGGGGGACAAAGUGACAGGUGGUGCAUGGUUGUCGUCAGCUCGUGUCGUGAGAUGUUGGGUUAAGUCCCGCAACGAGCGCAACCCUUAAGCUUAGUUGCCAUCAUUAAGUUGGGCACUCUAAGUUGACUGCCGGUGACAAACCGGAGGAAGGUGGGGAUGACGUCAAAUCAUCAUGCCCCUUAUGAUUUGGGCUACACACGUGCUACAAUGGACAAUACAAAGGGCAGCGAAACCGCGAGGUCAAGCAAAUCCCAUAAAGUUGUUCUCAGUUCGGAUUGUAGUCUGCAACUCGACUACAUGAAGCUGGAAUCGCUAGUAAUCGUAGAUCAGCAUGCUACGGUGAAUACGUUCCCGGGUCU